This is a non-coding RNA of Potamilus streckersoni, 74 nucleotides long. The record is from the annotation of a GenBank genome assembly. Lineage: Eukaryota; Metazoa; Mollusca; Bivalvia; Unionida; Unionidae.
GGCUCCGAUGGCCUAGUGGUUACAGCGUCCGUCUCGUAUGUGGGAGGUCGCAGGUUCGAUCCCAGGCUGAGUCA